This 423-nucleotide ribosomal RNA is filed under the name uncultured bacterium. RNAcentral describes it as "bacterial SSU rRNA". It matches the Rfam family "Bacterial small subunit ribosomal RNA", at positions 506 to 927 of the family's 1533-position model. The record is from RNAcentral.
GGCCAGCAGCCGCGGUAAAACGUAGGAGCCAAGCGUUAUCCGAAUUUACUGGGCGUAAAGCGCGUGCAGGCGGCUCGAUAAGUUGGCUGUGAAAUCUCCUGGCUCAACUGGGAGAGGCCGGUCAAGACUGUCGGGCUGGAGGGCAGUAGAGGGAGGUGGAAUUCCCGGUGUAGUGGUGAAAUGCGUAGAGAUCGGGAGGAACACCAGUGGCGAAAGCGGCCUCCUGGACUGUACCUGACGCUCAGACGCGAAAGCUAGGGGAGCGAACGGGAUUAGAAACCCCGGUAGUCCUAGCCGUAAACGAUGUCGACUUGGCGUCGGUGGGGUAAAAGCCAUCGGUGCCGGAGCUAACGCGGUAAGUCGACCGCCUGGGGACUACGGCCGCAAGGUUAAAACUCAAAGGAAUUGACGGGGGCCCGCACA